GAUGAAGAACGUAGCGAAAUGCGAUAAGUAAUGUGAAUUGCAGAAUUCAGUGAAUCAUCGAAUUUUUGAACGCAUAUUGCGCCCUUUGGCAUUCCGAAGGGCAUGCCUGUUCGAGCGUCAUUUCAACCCUCGACCUCCCCUUGGGGAGGUCGGCGUUGGGGACCGGCAGCACACCGCCGGCCCUGAAAUGGAGUGGCGGCCCGUCCGCGGCGACCUCUGCGCAGUAAUACAGCUCGCACCGGGACCCCGACGCGGCCACGCCGUAAAACACCCAACUUCUGAACGUUGACCUCGAAUCAGGUAGGACUACCCGCUGAACUUAAGCAUAUCAAUAAGCGGAGGA
This 343-nucleotide unclassified non-coding RNA is filed under the name soil metagenome. RNAcentral describes it as "partial contains 5.8S ribosomal RNA, internal transcribed spacer 2, and large subunit ribosomal RNA". The stretch from base 1 to 120 matches the Rfam family "5.8S ribosomal RNA", at positions 35 to 154 of the family's 154-position model. The record is from RNAcentral.